Molecule: long non-coding RNA, 559 nt
Filed under: Lathyrus oleraceus (garden pea)
Lineage: Eukaryota; Viridiplantae; Streptophyta; Magnoliopsida; Fabales; Fabaceae
Description: Pisum sativum (pea) long non-coding RNA (PSAT_LNC036675)
Source: RNAcentral
AAAAAUCAAAAUAUAUAUACAGUAAGAUGUUUCGACAAGCCACUAAGAAUAAUAAUUACAAUUUUUAGAAAUCUAUUAUCAAUAUAAUUACAACAUUUAUAAUUAAUUCAUAGUAUAACCACACUAUUAUGAUUAACAAUAUCUAUAUACUACUUAGCUAGAACAGAAACCAACAAUCACACACUUUAUAAUAUCCAACAUCCAACAUGAUAAAAAAAAGGUGACGCCAUGACAUAAUCAAGUGGAAUUUUACCACACAAAAAAAAAACUCUUAGAAACAAAAUUUAGCAAACCAAUAAUAAUAUAUUUACACUAUAAUAAGAGUUAAAGUUAAAUAAGAAAUGUUGAGUUAACAGUAACUUUACUACUACCAUUAACAUAUAGAAAAACGUAACCAACAUUAAAUUGAGUGAAGGUAGAAUUAUUCCUUACUUAAACUUCCUCUCUCUGAGCGAAUUCUUCCAGAUUUAAAAAGGAAAAUAUGGACAGAAGAGAUUCCAGUGCAAAAUCUUCAACUUCGUUGGUGUUGUUGUGUUGGUUUUGAAAGGAUAUCAUAUGG